RNAcentral lists this ribosomal RNA (327 nucleotides) under uncultured Thauera sp. RNAcentral's name for it is "bacterial SSU rRNA". It matches the Rfam family "Bacterial small subunit ribosomal RNA", at positions 1056 to 1382 of the family's 1533-position model. Lineage: Bacteria; Pseudomonadati; Pseudomonadota; Betaproteobacteria; Rhodocyclales; Zoogloeaceae. The record is from RNAcentral.
CAGCUCGGUGUCGUUGAGAUGUUGGGUUAAGUCCCGCAACGAGCGCAACCCUUGUCACUAGUUGCCAUCAUUUGGUUGGGCACUCUAGUGAGACUGCCGGUGACAAACCGGAGGAAGGUGGGGAUGACGUCAAGUCCUCAUGGCCCUUAUGGGUAGGGCUUCACACGUCAUACAAUGGUCGGUACAGAGGGUUGCCAAGCCGCGAGGUGGAGCCAAUCCCUUAAAGCCGAUCGUAGUCCGGAUCGUAGUCUGCAACUCGACUACGUGAAGUCGGAAUCGCUAGUAAUCGCAGAUCAGCAUGCUGCGGUGAAUACGUUCCCGGGUCUU